Physeter macrocephalus (sperm whale) is the source of this 493-nucleotide long non-coding RNA. RefSeq lists it as uncharacterized. NCBI's taxonomy places the organism in Eukaryota, Metazoa, Chordata, Mammalia, Artiodactyla, Physeteridae. The record is from RefSeq and is a predicted model, not a curated record. The transcript is spliced from 3 exons.
UACUAGUCCAACUAGAUUUAAAUUUUUUUUUCUUUACUAGUCUCUUCUUCCCCACCUCCCUUCUCUUAAAGAAAAGCUUUUUUUUUUUUUUCUGAAUACUUCAGAAGGGAGUGGUUUGAUGUGAAGGUUUUUUUUUCCCCUUCAGGCAUUGAAAAGGAAAAAGAUGAAAUAUAUGUUUAUAUAUAACUCUGUUUCUACAUACCUCAUUGAAGUCAAAACGCGUUUAAUUGUUAUAUUUCCCUUCCUCCAUGAUCUCCAACACUGAUAGAGUGGAAGAAACUGAGGUACCAUGAAAAAGAAAAGUAACUGGGACUGAGAAAAAGAAAGAGUUCUGUGCCUCACCCUGUACAUACCCACACCUGUAAUCAAACCCCUUACUUGUCCUAUCCCGUGAGUUUUACCCGUGAGUUUUAUUUCUCAAACUACACUCCUUUCCUGGCAUGUGCUUAUGGAAAAAAUUAAAAAUAGGAAUAAACCUAAUGCUAAUAGAAUA